GACGAACGCUGGCGGCGUGCUUAACACAUGCAAGUCGAACGGAAAGGCCCUGCUUUUGUGGGGUGCUCGAGUGGCGAACGGGUGAGUAACACGUGAGUAACCUGCCCUUGACUUUGGGAUAACUGCAGGAAACUGGGGCUAAUACCGGAUAGGAGCUCCUGCUGCAGGGUGGGGGUUGGAAAGUUUCGGCGGAUGGGGAUGGACGCGCGGCUUAUCAGCUUGUGGGUGGGGUAGUGGCUUACCAAGGCUUUGACGGGUAGCCGGCCUGAGAGGGUGACCGGCCACAUUGGGACUGAGGUACGGCCCAGACUCCUACGGGGGGCAGCGGUGGGGAAUAUUGCACAAUGGGGGGAAGCCUGAUGCAGCAACGCCGCGUGCGGGAUGCCGGCCUUCGGGUUGUAAACCGCUUUCGCCUGUGACGAAGCGUGAGUGACGGUAAUGGGUAAAGAAGCACCGGCUAACUACGUG
This 468-nucleotide ribosomal RNA is filed under the name uncultured bacterium. RNAcentral's name for it is "partial 16S ribosomal RNA". It matches the Rfam family "Bacterial small subunit ribosomal RNA", at positions 28 to 507 of the family's 1533-position model. The record is from RNAcentral.